UACGUAGGGUGCGAGCGUUAAUCGGAAUUACUUGGCGUAAAGCGUGCGCAGGCGGUUUUGUAAGCCAGAUGUGAAAGCCCCGGGCUCAACCUGGGAAUGGCAUUUGGGACUGCAAGGCUGGAGUUUGGCAGAGGAGACUGGAAUUCCUGGUGUAGCAGUGAAAUGCGUAGAUAUCAGGAGGAAUACCGAUGGCGAAGGCAGGUCUCUGGGCUAUAACUGACGCUCAUGCACGAAAGCGUGGGGAGCAAACAGG
RNAcentral lists this ribosomal RNA (253 nucleotides) under uncultured bacterium. RNAcentral describes it as "partial 16S ribosomal RNA". It matches the Rfam family "Bacterial small subunit ribosomal RNA", at positions 524 to 776 of the family's 1533-position model. The record is from RNAcentral.